CCUACGGGUGGCAGCAGUGAGGACUAUUGGUCAAUGGGCGAGAGCCUGAACCAGCCAAGUCGCGUGAGGGAAGACGGUCCUAUGGAUUGUAAACCUCUUUUGCCGGGGAGCAAACAGCGGUACGCGUACCGCAUCGAGAGUACCCGGAGAGACAGCAUCGGUUAACUCCGUGCCAGCCGCCGCGGUAAUACGGAGGAUGCGAGCGUUAUCCGGAUUUAUUGGGUUUAAAGGGUGCGCAGGCGUCGAGUUAAGUCAGCGGUAAAAUUUCGGGGCUCAAACCCGACAAGCCGUUGAAACUGGUGUGCUAGAGUGGGCGAGAAGUAUGCGGAAUGCGUGGUGUAGCGGUGAAAUGCAUAGAUAUCACGCAGAACUCCGAUUGCGAAGGCAGCAUACCGGCGCCCAACUGACGCUCAGGCACGAAAGCGUGGGUAUCGAACAGGAUGAGAUACCCUUGUAGUC
This 459-nucleotide ribosomal RNA is filed under the name uncultured bacterium. Its description in RNAcentral is "partial 16S ribosomal RNA". It matches the Rfam family "Bacterial small subunit ribosomal RNA", at positions 338 to 795 of the family's 1533-position model. The record is from RNAcentral.